Molecule: ribosomal RNA, 205 nt
Filed under: uncultured bacterium
Lineage: Bacteria
Description: partial 16S ribosomal RNA
Rfam family: Bacterial small subunit ribosomal RNA
Source: RNAcentral
UGCGUAGGUGGUCGGGUAAGUCUGGUGUGAAAUCUCCGAGCUCAACUCGGAAAUGGCAUUGGAUACUAUUCGGCUGGAGGGUUGGAGGGGGGACUGGAAUUCUUGGUGUAGCAGUGAAAUGCGUAGAUAUCAAGAGGAACACCAGUGGCGAAGGCGAGUCCCUGGACAACUCCUGACACUGAGGCACGAAAGCUGGGAGCAAACA